GAUGGGUUUCUUCCUACUAGAGUUCGAUUCUGUUCUUAACUGAAUGGAGUAGCUAUCUCUCGGGGUAGUCAAUUGGUUAUUAUAUCUCCACUAAUGAGCAGAGAGGAGUAAAAUCUUCAAAGUAAGUUAUGUGGGUCAAGGUAUGAUGAUUAAUUGGAGUUCUAGUUCAUUUACUUUGAGAAAAUUAGAGUGUUUAAAGCAGCCUCUUGGGGCACUGAAUACAUUAGCAUGGGAUAAUAAAAUAGGAUCUUCACAAUAUAUUUUAUUGGUUUAAAUUGCGUAUGAAGAUAAUGAUUAAUAGGGACAGUUGGGGGUAUUCAUAUUGGGUGGUUAGCGGUGAAAUGCUCGGAUCCAUUCAAGAUGAACUAAAGCGAAAGCAUUUACCAAGGAUGUUUUCAUUAAUCAAGAACGAAAGUUAAGGGAUCGAAGACGAUUAGAUACCGUCGUAGUCUU
RNAcentral lists this ribosomal RNA (453 nucleotides) under uncultured eukaryote. RNAcentral's name for it is "bacterial SSU rRNA". It matches the Rfam family "Eukaryotic small subunit ribosomal RNA", at positions 626 to 1027 of the family's 1831-position model. The record is from RNAcentral.